Molecule: long non-coding RNA, 810 nt
Organism: Hipposideros armiger (great roundleaf bat)
Lineage: Eukaryota; Metazoa; Chordata; Mammalia; Chiroptera; Hipposideridae
Exons: 3
Source: RefSeq, a predicted model, not a curated record
AAAUGCAAUAUAAUUGAUAGAGCUAUAGCUUUGAAACAACUUAUAAAUCAUUGGCCAGCAUAUUAGAGCAAGUUAGCUUAAUAUCGGAAUUUCAAACCAUGUCCUCAUUUAUAAUACCAGAUACUUUUCAAUUGCAGAUUUAGUACCUCAAGACAGACACUUAUGUGGAUUCCAGAUUCUUUUUUUUCCAGUUUGCUGAGUGGAAGAAUUUCAAGCCUUCGAGAUGAAACUGGUGCUAUAUUUAUUGACAGAGAUCCAGCAGCGUUUGCACCCAUUUUAAAUUUUCUUCGAACAAAAGAACUAGACUUAAGGUAAGAAGUGCAUCCUUUUAAAUGAAUUCUUAUUGAUAGAUGUGCUUUUGGUAUAGUUUAUGAAGGAACAAAAAAGUUAAGGACUACUUUGCUAGAAAGUUUCCUCAGAAUUAAACUCGCAUAGACAUAAGCCACCAUCAUCUAGACUCAUCCAACAGCUUCCCGACCAUUUUUCCUGGCUUCACGCUUGCAUCCCUCCAAUUUACUGUUCAUGCUGUAGCCAACAUUAUCUCUUAAAAAUAUACAUUGAAUCCGUUUACCACUCUCCUUAAAAUGUUAUUAGAUUAAUGGCUGUGGAUUCGCUAUAACCCGCCUGGCCCCUUGCUUCUGCUUCAUUUCUCUCCCAUCAGACCUCAGAGUCCAAAAGGGCCGGCACUGUUUACUAUAUACCCUGGCAUCCUGCAGGACACAUAGUAGGGGUUCAGUUCAUGUUUGUUUUGUGGAUAAAUGAAUGGUCAUUUAAACUAUUUCUUUUUUUUUUUAAAAUUUUAUUGGGGAA